CAGACUCAUACAAACCCCCGUCUCUGAGAAGUCCAGUCCUAGAAGGACCGAGUUACUGGGGCAAGACUCAUAUGGAGCAGGGUGAAGAACAAUACUUUGCUGCAACAAUCCAGUGAGAAGGCAAUCAUCUGUAAAGCAGGAAGAGAGCCUUCCCCAGGAGCUGAAUCUGCCAGCAUCUUGAUCUUGGACUUCCCAGCCUCCAGAACCACCAGAGAGAAAUGCCUGUUGUCUGAACCACCGUAUGUUACCCUGUUACAGCAGCCUGAGCUAAGAUGAUACUGGAGGCCCAGUUAAUCUACCUCAACAUGACCCUUUUGUAACACAGGCUGGACAAAGGCUGUGAAAACACUCAGUAUCUAGAGUUUUCCAAUGUGUGUGUCCUUCCCUAUACACUUCAUUUGCUUAUCCCCUUAUUCAUUCAACAAAGGAGUUCCUUUUCUUUUCUUUUCUUUUCUUUCCUUCCUUCCUUCCUUUCUUUCUUUCUUUUGACAGGGUUUCACCAUGUUGGCCAGGCUGAGCUUAACUCCUGACCCCAAGCGAUCCACCUGCCAAGGCCUCCCAAAGUGCUGGGAUUACAGGCGUGAGCCACUGUGCCUGGCCAAGGAGCUCUUAUUGUCCUCUCUGCACUGUGCUUGACCCCAGAGCCAGGACUAGGCUGGGGCCAAUGAGGCAUUGAGCAGACAAAGUUUAAGGAGAAACUCAUUUGCACAACCCUGACAGUGAGUGCCACCUGGCAUUGUCUGCCCUCCACCCCCUCCUGGCCCUUCCAGGCACAGAGGAAACAAAGAUUUUUUUUUUUUUAAGCCACUUUCUUCCUCAAGACACCCACAGGUUAAGAGGUCAGAAACAGGGCAUACCACACUGGCCUUUGGCACCUCAAUUGCUCACUUCACAAGAACACAAAAUGUCCCCUAAGAAGAGCAGCUGAGUAUAAUGGAAAAAGUUAAGUGUCCUCUUCUGACCUUUGAUGAUUCAAAGUUUAGAGUCAUUUUUAACACUAUUCAAAGGAAAUGUGACAGUCAUAUAAACUUGAUGCUACAUGUCAUUGAAUCACAGCUCUAAAGAAACCUACAGGCCGGGUGCGGUGGCUCACACCUGUAAUCCCCGCACUUUGGGAGGCCGAGGCGGGUGGAUCACGAGGUCAAGAGAUCGACAUGGUGAAACCCCCUCUCUACUAAAAAUACAAAAAAUUAGCC
Molecule: long non-coding RNA, 1196 nt
Filed under: Pan troglodytes (chimpanzee)
Lineage: Eukaryota; Metazoa; Chordata; Mammalia; Primates; Hominidae
Description: long non-coding RNA NONPTRT004831
Source: RNAcentral